GCUUUUAAAGGAUAACAGUCUAUCCACUGGUCUUAGGAACCAAAAAUUCUUGGUGCAAAUCCAAGUAAAAGCU
Molecule: transfer RNA, 73 nt
Filed under: Puntius titteya (cherry barb)
Lineage: Eukaryota; Metazoa; Chordata; Actinopteri; Cypriniformes; Cyprinidae
Description: tRNA-Leu
Rfam family: tRNA
About the family: Transfer RNA (tRNA) molecules are approximately 80 nucleotides in length.
Source: RNAcentral